AGCGAACGCUGGCGGCAGGCUUAACACAUGCAAGUCGAGCGGGUGUAGCAAUACAUCAGCGGCAGACGGGUGAGUAAUGCGUGGGAACGUACCUUUUGGUUCGGAACAACCCAGGGAAACUUGGGCUAAUACCGGAUAAGCACUUACGGGGAAAGAUUUAUCGCCGAAAGAUCGACCCCGGUCUUAUUAUCUAGUUGGUGAGGUAAUGGCACACUAAGGCAACGAUCAGUAGCUGGUCUGAGAGGAUGAUCAGCGACAUUGGUACUGCGACACGGCCGAAGCUCCUACGGGAGGCAGCAGUGGGGAAUAUUGGACAAUGGGGGCAACGCUGAUCCAGCCAUGCCGCGUGAUUGAUGAAGGCCCUAGGGUUGUAAAGCUCUUUUGUGCGGGAAGAUAAUGACGGUACCGCAAGAAUAAGCCCCGGCUAACUUCGUGCCAGCAACCGCAGUAA
RNAcentral lists this ribosomal RNA (451 nucleotides) under uncultured bacterium. Its description in RNAcentral is "partial 16S ribosomal RNA". It matches the Rfam family "Bacterial small subunit ribosomal RNA", at positions 29 to 523 of the family's 1533-position model. The record is from RNAcentral.